GAUGAACGCUGGCGGCGUGCCUAAUACAUGCAAGUCGAGCGAACAGACGAGGAGCUUGCUCCGCUGACGUUAGCGGCGGACGGGUGAGUAACACGUGUAUAACCUACCUAUAAGACUGGGAUAACUUCGGGAAACCGGAGCUAAUACCGGAGAAGAUAUUGAACCGCAUGGUUCAAUAGUGAAAUACGGUGUUGCGGUCACUUAUAGAUGGAUCCGCGCCGCAUUAGCUAGUUGUUAAGGUAACGGCUUACCAAGGCAACGAUGCGUAGCCGACCUGAGAGGGUGAUCGGCCACACUGGAACUGAGACACGGUCCAGACUCCUACGGGAGGCAGCAGUCGGGAAUCUUCCGCAAUGGGCGAAAGCCUGACGGAGCAACGCCGCGUGAGUGAUGAAGGUCUUCGGAUCGUAAAACUCUGUUAUUAGGGAAGAACAAAUGUGUAAGUAACUAUGCACGUCUUGACGGUAACUAAUCAGAAAGCCACGGCUAACUACGUG
RNAcentral lists this ribosomal RNA (497 nucleotides) under uncultured bacterium. RNAcentral describes it as "partial 16S ribosomal RNA". It matches the Rfam family "Bacterial small subunit ribosomal RNA", at positions 28 to 507 of the family's 1533-position model. The record is from RNAcentral.